This 511-nucleotide ribosomal RNA is filed under the name uncultured Burkholderia sp. RNAcentral's name for it is "bacterial SSU rRNA". It matches the Rfam family "Bacterial small subunit ribosomal RNA", at positions 149 to 653 of the family's 1533-position model. Lineage: Bacteria; Pseudomonadati; Pseudomonadota; Betaproteobacteria; Burkholderiales; Burkholderiaceae. The record is from RNAcentral.
CUGCGAAAGCCGGAUUAAUACCGCAUACGCUCUGCGGAGGAAAGCGGGGGAUCCUUCGGGACCUCGCGCUACAGGGGCGGCCGAUGGCAGAUUAGCUAGUUGGUGGGGUAAAGGCCUACCAAGGCGACGAUCUGUAGCUGGUCUGAGAGGACGACCAGCCACACUGGGACUGAGACACGGCCCAGACUCCUACGGGAGGCAGCAGUGGGGAAUUUUGGACAAUGGGCGCAAGCCUGAUCCAGCAAUGCCGCGUGUGUGAAGAAGGCCUUCGGGUUGUAAAGCACUUUUGUCCGGAAAGAAAACCUCGUGGUUAAUACCCGUGGGGGAUGACGGUACCGGAAGAAUAAGCACCGGCUAACUACGUGCCAGCAGCCGCGGUAAUACGUAGGGUGCAAGCGUUAAUCGGAAUUACUGGGCGUAAAGCGUGCGCAGGCGGUUCGCUAAGACAGAUGUGAAAUCCCCGGGCUUAACCUGGGAACUGCAUUUGUGACUGGCGGGCUAGAGUAUGGCA